GAUAUAUUUAGGGUGUACGAUUUGAUGAUGUGAUAUAUAUGUACUUUGUGAAAUAAUUACCACCAUCAGGCUGAUUGACAUGUCACCUCGUUACCGUUUCCUCUGUGUGUGUGUGUGUGUGUGUGUGUGUGUGUGUGUGUGUGUGUGAAGAACACAAGCUCUGCAUUUAAGGGUACAAGAGAGCUUUUCCUUACAGUCACCAUGCUGCCCAUCCGAUCUCCAGAAUGUACUGAUCUUGUGCAAUGAACUUGGCAUCCCUUAACUUGGCAUCCCUUCCCUCCCUCCCGCCACACCCCAGACCCCUGGCAACCACCCUUCUGCCUCUUCUUUUCGAUCCCACAUUUAAGUGAGACCACACACAAUUUGUCUUUGGCUCAUCUCACGUAGCAUAAUGUCCUCUGCAGCAUCCUAAUUGUCCGUGGCAUCAUCCAGCUUGACUCGAAUGGCAGGAGCUCCUUCUUUUUAAGGAUUAUAUUAGGAUCAGUAUCUUUUUUCCUGGACCUUAACCUUUCAGGAAACUAAACUUAAGGAGAAUUAGGGUCAGAGGUAAUUUUUCCCUCUGUGUGUGUGUGUGAGUGUGUGUGUGUGUGUGUGUGUGUGUGUGUUUAAACAGGCUCUGAGUCAUGAAAUCCUUGCCUAGCUUUUAUCAGGGAUCGGAAGCGGAGAUCCAGGGGGGACAUCACUGUCGUCAGAGAGAUUAUCAACCUUCCAUGGGAUUCUUAACCAUUGCUGGGCACCAAGCAAAGGUUUUUAAAACAGCCUUUCCUCAGACGGUGCUUGAUAGUGGAAGGCGGGGAUGUCGUUCUUCCUCUGGGGAAGCCUUGGGACAGAAAGAAGCAACUCCUCACCCCACCCUCUCUGCGGGGCCAGCAAGGAAACACCGCCCAGGAGCUCCGUGCGUGGAGCUGGACGGGAGAGGCUCGGAGCUGGGUUUCCUCUUAGAGGAGAAGCAACCCCCCUUCAUUCUUGGGAGGACUCGGGUGCCUGUGGUGAGCAGCAGCCACUGCUCAGUCCUGGGAAACAGAGGAGGGGAUGAGCGGAUGGGGGGAACUGCUCCAACAUCCCAAUAAGUAAAAGCUGCGCAGAUUCCAUAGGAAGAGCCAAGCGAGGCAAGGCGUCCGGGACACAGACGACGACAUACCGCCGUGAACUCACUUCGCCCUGAGCGAAGACCUGGCGGAACUACUUCUCUCAAUAUCAGGUGUCUGUUCCUUGUCACUUCCUCCAUCCCGCUGCUCAGCCUAACCUGUUCCCCCUCCAGAAAACUAAGCCAAACAACGAGCCAACAAAGCCCCCUGCCCUCUGGAGGGGCUGCUCGGUUCCUUUGGGGGCAGAGCGCGAUUACCAAAGGGCAGGACACAGGAGUCCUGAUGCCCACCAGAGGAGGCCGAGCCGAGGGAAGGUGAACCAAGAGGAUGCUUUAUUUUUCUGCUGCAUUUUUCACAAGGAGGAUGUCCUGUAAGAGGCAGGUGGAAUUAUAACUAGAUUCCAGGCAGCAGAUUGGGGAGCUGUCAGGGACGCUGGCUAGGAGCUUGUGUCCCCCCAGAUUCCUAUGUUGAAGCCCUAAUCCCCAGUGUGACUGAAUAUGGAGCUGAGGCCUUUAGGGAGGUGAUGCAGGUUGAACAGGUCAUGAAGGUGGGGCCCUGAUGCAACAGGACUGGUGUCCUUAUAAGAGACACCAGGGAGUUCCUAUCUUGGCUCCACAAAAAUGAAUCUGACUAGUAUCCAUGAGGACAAAAGUUUGAUCCCUGGCCUUGCUCAGUGGGUUAAGGAUCCAGCGUGGCCGUGAGCUGUGGUGUAGGUUGGUGGCCACAGCUCCGUGGGAACAGCUCUGAUUAAACCCCCUAGCCUGGGAACCUCCAUAGGCUGCAUGUGUGGCCCUAAAAGGACAAAAGACAAAAAUAAAUAAAUAAAAAUAAAAAUAAAAAAUAAAGUG
This 1936-nucleotide long non-coding RNA is filed under the name Sus scrofa (pig). Its description in RNAcentral is "lncRNA (ENSSSCG00070006360.1)". Lineage: Eukaryota; Metazoa; Chordata; Mammalia; Artiodactyla; Suidae. The record is from RNAcentral.